This 451-nucleotide ribosomal RNA is filed under the name uncultured bacterium. RNAcentral describes it as "partial 16S ribosomal RNA". It matches the Rfam family "Bacterial small subunit ribosomal RNA", at positions 354 to 796 of the family's 1533-position model. The record is from RNAcentral.
GUGGGGAAUUUUGCGCAAUGGGGGAAACCCUGACGCAGCAACGCCGCGUGAGUGAUGAAGGCCUUCGGGUCGUAAAGCUCUGUCAGAGGGGAAGAAGUGUGGGGUGGCUAAUAUCCAUUUCACUUGACGGUACCUGCAAAGGAAGCACCGGCUAACUCCGUGCCAGCAGCCGCGGUAAUACGGAGGGUGCGAGCGUUGUUCGGAAUUAUUGGGCGUAAAGCGCGUGUAGGCGGUUUUUUAAGUCUGAUGUGAAAGCCCUGGGCUCAACCCGGGAAGUGCAUUGGAAACUGGGAGACUUGAAUACGGGAGAGGGCAGUGGAAUUCCUGGUGUAGGAGUGAAAUCCGUAGAUAUCAGGAGGAACACCGGUGGCGAAGGCGGCUGCCUGGACCGAUAUUGACGCUGAGACGCGAAAGCGUGGGGAGCAAACAGGAUUAGAAACCCUAGUAGUCC